Molecule: ribosomal RNA, 459 nt
Filed under: uncultured bacterium
Lineage: Bacteria
Description: partial 16S ribosomal RNA
Rfam family: Bacterial small subunit ribosomal RNA
Source: RNAcentral
CCUACGGGUGGCAGCAGUGAGGAAUAUUGGUCAAUGGGCGCGAGCCUGAACCCGCCAAGUCGCGUGAGGGAAGACGGUCCUAUGGAUUGUAAACCUCUUUUGUCGGGGAGCAAAAGACGCCACGCGUGGCGUUCCGAGAGUACCCGACGAAAAAGCAUCGGCUAACUCCGUGCCAGCAGCCGCGGUAAUACGGAGGAUGCGAGCGUUAUCCGGAUUUAGUGGGUUUAAAGGGUGCGCAGGCGGAAGAUCAAGUCAGCGGGAAAAUUGAGAGGCUCAACCUCUUCGAGCCGUUGAAACUGGUUUUCUUGAGUGAGCGAGAAGUAUGCGGAAUGCGUGGUGUAGCGGUGAAAUGCAUAGAUAUCACGCAGAACUCCGAUUGCGAAGGCAGCAUACCGGCGCUCAACUGACGCUCAUGCACGAAAGUGUGGGUAUCGAACAGGAUUAGAUACCCGAGUAGUC